Molecule: non-coding RNA, 216 nt
Organism: Cinara cedri
Lineage: Eukaryota; Metazoa; Arthropoda; Insecta; Hemiptera; Aphididae
Source: the annotation of a GenBank genome assembly
GAUACAAAAUAAUUUUCAUUAUUCUUAUAUAUAUUGUCUUACCUUAAUACUUGACUGGUGGUUGGCACCGGAGAUUUGAAUUUGAUCGAUAUUAUUACUCGGCUAAUACUCGGUAACCAGUUAGUUUAUAAAUAAUUAACCCCUAUACCUCUAAUAUAAAUAUUGUUCCAAUUUACAAUGAUAGCAAUUUUUUUUGAAAUUAAAUCUGACUGUGGU